Molecule: small nuclear RNA, 306 nt
Filed under: Propithecus coquereli (Coquerel's sifaka)
Lineage: Eukaryota; Metazoa; Chordata; Mammalia; Primates; Indriidae
Description: 7SK RNA (ENSPCOG00000011010.1)
Rfam family: 7SK RNA
About the family: 7SK was discovered as an abundant small nuclear RNA in the mid-70s but a possible function has only recently been suggested.
Source: RNAcentral
GGAUGUGAGGGUGAUCUGGCUGUGACAUCUGUCACCCGAAUGAUUGCCAGGGUUGAUUCGGCUGAUCUGGCUGGCCAGGCGGGUGUCCCCUUCCUCCCUCAACGCUCCAUGUGCAUCCCUCCUGAUGCUGCACCCUCAGUCAAAGACGACAACCUUCCCCAAUAGAGGAGGACCUUUCUUCAGUCAAGGGUAUACGAGAGUAGCUGCGCUCCCCAGCUAGAACCUCCACACAAGCUCUCAAGAAAUUAGAAAAACAAGAACAAAAUAAAUCCAAAGCAAAGGAAAGAAAUAAUAAAGAGUAGUUAU